Molecule: non-coding RNA, 26 nt
Filed under: Mus musculus (house mouse)
Lineage: Eukaryota; Metazoa; Chordata; Mammalia; Rodentia; Muridae
Source: RNAcentral
UGCUUCUGGAGAUUGUGCAGAUGGUA